AUUGAACGCUGGCGGCAUGCCUUACACAUGCAAGUCGAACGGCAGCACGGGAGCAAUCCUGGUGGCGAGUGGCGAACGGGUGAGUAAUGUAUCGGAACGUACCUUUCAGCGGGGGAUAACGUAGCGAAAGUUACGCUAAUACCGCAUAUUCUGUGAGCAGGAAAGCAGGGGAUCGCAAGACCUUGCGCUGAUUGAGCGGCCGAUAUCAGAUUAGCUAGUUGGUGAGGUAAAGGCUCACCAAGGCGACGAUCUGUAGCGGGUCUGAGAGGAUGAUCCGCCACACUGGAACUGAGACACGGUCCAGACUCCUACGGGAGGCAGCAGUGGGGAAUUUUGGACAAUGGGCGCAAGCCUGAUCCAGCCAUGCCGCGUGAGUGAAGAAGGCCUGGUGUAAG
This 395-nucleotide ribosomal RNA is filed under the name uncultured bacterium. RNAcentral's name for it is "bacterial SSU rRNA". It matches the Rfam family "Bacterial small subunit ribosomal RNA", at positions 30 to 429 of the family's 1533-position model. The record is from RNAcentral.